UCAGAGAACAAGAGCAAGAGGUUAAAAACUCAUGGGAAAGUUAGCCAGGAACGGCCCUGGAAAAAGAAGGAAGAGCAACACAGUCACUCCUAAAAAUAACAUGCUGCAACUCCCAGCUCUGCCUCCAACAAUGUUUCAUACAUUCAAGCACAUCCACUGGAAAAUGUUCCCUCUGCAAAAUCCUUAAAUAAAUACGCCAGGGGUGACAUGGUAGUGACUUAAGGCAUCCCGACGGCACGUUAAGAAACAAGCUGUUCAGAAAUCUCAGAUUUUUUUCCAGACUUCCACCAGGUUUGUGCAUUACCAAGCUUUUUAGCUGGCAAAAUCCAG
Long non-coding RNA from Lagopus leucura (white-tailed ptarmigan), 330 nucleotides. RefSeq lists it as uncharacterized. The transcript has 3 exons. The record is from RefSeq and is a predicted model, not a curated record. Lineage: Eukaryota; Metazoa; Chordata; Aves; Galliformes; Phasianidae.